UGAGUACGAGAUGCUACGGCAUCGAAGCAGUCUAUGUCAUACUUCCAAGAAAAGCUUGCAAUGUCAUAAACAAAUAAUGCCUGUACCAUAACCGACACAGGUGGGUAGGUAGAGUAUACUAAGGGGCGCGAGAUAACUCUCUCUAAGGAACUCGGCAAAAUGACUCCGUAACUUCGGGAGAAGGAGUGCCUUAUUUUUAUAAGGUUGCAAUAACAAGAUCCAAGCAACUGUUUACCAAAACCACAGGUCUCCGCUAAGUCGUAAGACGAUGUAUGGGGGCUGACGCCUGCCCAGUGCCAGAAGGUUAAAGAAGUUGGUUAGCAUUAGCGAAGCUGAUAACUGAAGCCCUGGUGAACGGCGGCCGUAACUAUAACGGUCCUAAGGUAGCGAAAUUCCUUGUCGGGUAAGUUCCGACCCGCACGAAAGGCGUAAUGAUUUGGAUACUGUCUCGGAGAGGGGCUCGGUGAAAUAGACUUGUCUGUGAAGAUGCGGACUACCUGCACCUGGACAGAAAGACCCUAUGAAGCUUUACUGUAACUUGAGAUUGAAAUUGGACUUUAUCUGCGCAGUAUAGGUGGGAGACGUUGAAAAUAUUCUUGCGGGAAUAUUGGAGUCAUCAGUGAGAUACCACUCUUAUAAUGUUAGAUUUCUAACUUUGUAUCAUUAUCUGGUCAAAGAACAGUUUCAGGCGGGCAGUUUGACUGGGGCGGUCGCCUCCCAAACGGUAACGGAGGCGCACAAAGGUUUCCUCUGAACGUGUAGAAAUCGUAUCUAGAGUGUAAAGGCAUAAGGAAGCUUGACUGUGAGACCUACAAGUCGAGCAGGGACGAAAGUCGGUCUUAGUGAUCUGACGGUGCUGAGUGGAAAGGCCGUCACUCAACGGAUAAAAGUUACUCUAAGGAUAACAGGCUGAUCUCCCCCAAGAGUUCACAUCGACGGGGAGGUUUGGCACCUCGAUGUCGGCUCAUCGCAUCCUGGGGCGGUAGUACGUCCCAAGGGUUGGGCUGUUCGCCCAUGAAAGCGGUACGCGAGCUGGGUUCAGAACGUCGUGAGACAGUUCGGUCCAUAUCCGGUGUAGGCGUUAGAAUAUUGAGAGGAGCCUUCUUUAGUACGAGAGGACCGAGAAGGACAUACCUCUGGUGUACCAGUUAUCGUGCCAACGGUAAACGCUGGGUAGCCAUGUAUGGAGAGGAUAACCGCUGAAAGCAUCUAAGUGGGAAGCCCACCUCAAGAUAAG
This 1237-nucleotide ribosomal RNA is filed under the name metagenome. Its description in RNAcentral is "bacterial LSU rRNA". It matches the Rfam family "Bacterial large subunit ribosomal RNA", at positions 1564 to 2808 of the family's 2925-position model. The record is from RNAcentral.